AGCAGUGACGUGCCUCCUCCGUUCCUAACCCCAAAGCCGAAGCCCCCGUGCACCUCACCAUAGCCACCAGCAUCAGCCCCAAUAUGACCAUUAAAGUCUCCUCCAAUAACUAGCUUCUCAGAUUGGGGAAUACUACUUACCAGAUCAUCCAAGCCCUCCCAAAAGCGCCUCUUAGCCUCCUCGUCUAAGCCCGCUUGCGGCGCGUAAGCGCUG
This 213-nucleotide long non-coding RNA is filed under the name Nicotiana benthamiana. Its description in RNAcentral is "long non-coding RNA (NBEN_LNC019726)". Lineage: Eukaryota; Viridiplantae; Streptophyta; Magnoliopsida; Solanales; Solanaceae. The record is from RNAcentral.